This is a long non-coding RNA of Apis cerana (Asiatic honeybee), 1480 nucleotides long. RefSeq lists it as uncharacterized. Lineage: Eukaryota; Metazoa; Arthropoda; Insecta; Hymenoptera; Apidae. The record is from RefSeq and is a predicted model, not a curated record.
UUUAAUGUUUAUUUUAAAAUUAUUAUUUUAAAUAAGUUUCAAUAACAUGCAACCGGUAGAGGGCUUUUUUCUCAGCGGAAUCUUUAUGUGGUCAUUAGUGUUCUCGUUUUCAAGCCUCGUGUUUCGUAUCCGAGUAAAAGUGAGUCCUAAAUAAACGACAUGCAUGACCAUAAAUACACUUCCCAUGUCGACAAAAAAUGUCAUUUAGUGAAUUGCCCGUGUCUAUUAUAAAAUUAAAAGAAAUAAGAAAGAGAUAGGAUAAAACGUUUUAUGUACGAUAAUCGCUGUUAUUUUUAUUUCUAACCUCCUUCGUAUCCUACUAACCGCGCGUCAUUCUAUUUAAGUCAAGGAAGUGAUGAAUAACAUGCGAGUUUGACAUAAUUUUCUCAAUGAGUGGAUCGAAUGUCAAGGUAUAAAUCCUAUAUCUAUGUAUCCAAUGUAUUUUUUGUCUUAAAAUAUCCGAAAUUCUAAGCAGGACCGUUAACCUAACGUUUAACUGUAUAAUUAUAAUGCAAGUUGUCCGAAAAAAUUCUCUUUCUCUUGCCUUCUCGCUUCGUCCUUUCUUAUUUUAUGAAUUAUGUACAGACUUGACAUCUAGCUAUAAUGUCAAGAUCCUUCUUAUCCGUUAGGGAUAAUAGUAAGUCUCGUUAAUGUGAGUUAUUGGCAGAUAAUACGAGGAUUCGGGUGUUUCUUUUAUGAAUAGUAAGUAGGUUUUUCUUUAAAUAAAACAUAUAAUGUAAUAUUAUGAUUGUGAUUAAUAUUUUAAUUGAUAUUUAAAAAAAAUUUUUUGUUCAAGCAAUAUCUACGUAAACAUCCUUAGUUUUUUAACGAAGAAUGAAAUAAUAAAAUAAACGAAUGUUCUUGUUUAUUCUAUUUUUUUAUCAUUCAAAUUUUUAUUAUAAUAUUCUUUUUUUAAAUUUAUAACAUAUCCUUGAUAAAUCCUUGCAAAAGGCAUCGAAGGACUCGCUCACUGUUUCGCUUCAGUUCAUGACGAAAAAAAUGAUCGUAUUUAUAUAAAUCAGCAAUUGAUUAAUUUUAAGCGGUAAGCAGUGUGUCGAAUGUAUUCCAAUGAUAUUGUUUAUUUUUACGCAGUAUAUUUGCAAAGUGGUAACGGUGGCAUAGCUACAAUGUAAUUAUAAAAUGUUGCAAUGGCAACCGGUGCAACGAACUCACGAAUGUUUUUUAAUGUUGAACAAGAUAGAAAACUUUCUAAAAAUUAUUUGUACGCAAUAUUUUAUUGAGCAGAAAUUCUUGAUGCUAUUGAGAAACGCUUAUAAUCUAAAGAAUGGUUUCAUUGAAAUCACAUAUAACAAAUGAUAUACGUGUAUACGUGUAAUAUUUUUCUUAAAUUAAAAAAUUUUUCAAUGAACGAAACACCCGAUUAAAAAAAUGAGUUAAAGAAUAUAACAAGUCGUGAUGAGCUUUAACAUCUGUACAUCUGUAUAUUUUUUAUUUAUAAAUAUAGAUAAAUACGGAUAAA